GACGAACGCUGGCGGCGUGCUUAACACAUGCAAGUCGAACGGAAAGGCCCUGCUUUUGUGGGGUGCUCGAGUGGCGAACGGGUGAGUAACACGUGAGUAACCUGCCCUUGACUUUGGGAUAACUUCAGGAAACUGGGGCUAAUACCGGAUAGGAGCUCCUGCUGCAUGGUGGGGGUUGGAAAGUUUCGGCGGUUGGGGAUGGACUCGCGGCUUAUCAGCUUGUUGGUUGGGUAGUGGCUUACCAAGGCUUUGACGGGUAGCCGGCCUGAGAGGGUGACCGGCCACAUUGGGACUGAGAUACGGACCAGACUCCUACGGGAGGCAGCAGUGGGGAAUAUUGCACAAUGGGCGGAAGCCUGAGGCAGCAACGCCGCGUGCGGGAUGCCGGCCUUCGGGUUGUAAACCGCUUUCGCCUGUGACGAAGCGUGAGUGACGGUAAUGGGUAAAGAAGCACCGGCUAACUACGUG
Molecule: ribosomal RNA, 468 nt
Filed under: uncultured bacterium
Lineage: Bacteria
Description: partial 16S ribosomal RNA
Rfam family: Bacterial small subunit ribosomal RNA
Source: RNAcentral